GAUGAAGAACGUAGCGAAAUGCGAUAAGUAAUGUGAAUUGCAGAUUUCAGUGAAUCAUCGAAUCUUUGAACGCACCUUGCGCCUUGUGGUAUUCCACAAGGCAUGCCCGUUUGAGUAUCAUUAAAUCAUCAACUCUAAAACCUUUGUGGUUUUUUUAGAGCUUGGUCUUGAGGGUUUUGCAGGCUUUUUUUUCGAAUCUGCUCCCUUUAAAUGCAUUAGCGAGACUUCCCUAUGCUGAACCGUCUCUUUGACGUGAUAAUUAUCUGCGUCGAAUUUUGGUUCUCGUUGGGCUUGCUUCUAAUCGUCUGUUAAAGACAAAACGGAUUUGGGUGCAUAUAUGCGCCUUUUUCCAAAACCUUUUUUGAUCUCAAAUCGGGUAGGACUACCCGCUGAACUUAAGCAUAUCAAUAAGCGGAGGA
RNAcentral lists this unclassified non-coding RNA (419 nucleotides) under soil metagenome. RNAcentral describes it as "partial contains 5.8S ribosomal RNA, internal transcribed spacer 2, and large subunit ribosomal RNA". The stretch from base 1 to 120 matches the Rfam family "5.8S ribosomal RNA", at positions 35 to 154 of the family's 154-position model. The record is from RNAcentral.